Long non-coding RNA from Macaca fascicularis (crab-eating macaque), 3461 nucleotides. NCBI's taxonomy places the organism in Eukaryota, Metazoa, Chordata, Mammalia, Primates, Cercopithecidae. The record is from Ensembl.
UUUAUCCUCCCCCCAUUUUCUUCCUUCCAACUCCCUUCCCGCUUUUCUAAUCCCUUGCUUUCUCUCCUACUGCCUCUGCUUACACUCUUUCUUCUCUCUCACUUUCUCUCUCCUUCUCUUCUCCCCAGGGGGUCUCCUGGGGUGAAUCUCAGGCCAGAGAUUUUAAGGUAUACCCCAUCCCCCACAUCACUCCUUCAUACCACAUAUCUGUGCCAACACCUGCCUCUGCUCCUGAACAGAUCCAAGGUUAGGUCUAUGACAAGUAAACUGAGGAAUGGGGCAGGGACGCAACCACUAGGGUCCCCAGACACCUAUAGUCCCACCCCUUCACUGCAUCUGCUUUGGAUCCUCAGUUUUUUGUCUGGAGAAUGGGAUGGCAAAGAGGAAGGGGCACUGUGGUGGGUAGGUGGGGCGAGCAACAAGGAGCCUGUGGCCACCAAAUCCUGUGAACAUACCCAGUUGGGGGUGGCCUAGGAGGGCCGAGAAGCCUGUCUGGGGCUCCAGCUGGCGGCACCAGGGGUAAGCUUGGGGUCUCAGUCCCCCCAUCUGUGAAAUGGGCAGCCUUAAAGACCUCAGGAAUCUUUUCAGAUGCGAAAACCAACAUGGCAAAUCAGUAGCUGGGUCUUCACUGCUGCAGAGCCCAGCAACUGCUGUGUGACCUUGGGACUUGCUUCCCCUCUCUGGGCUCUGGCUUCCUCUUCUGUCAAAGGAGGGAGGUCAGAUAGGUGAUUCAUUGCCAAGGCUCUUUUCGGCUCUGGUGGAAGAUUCUAGAUUGUGGGGAAGGAAAAAUAGUGUCCCACUUAUCCAGAGAAAACUAGAGAAGCCGUUUCUCCCACUGCAGGCAAUCGGAGCCUUCAGCAUCAGCAGCGGCAUUUUGAGCAAAUCAUUUGAAAUAUCAAGAAAAGCUCUCUAUACAAAAUAUAUCCACUACAUCAUUCAUCAGGAACAUCCAGAAUGUUGGACAAAAGGGGAAUAUUAAGUAAAUUAUGGUACAUCCACUUGAUUGGAAAAGCCUGAAGACAUUAACCAUGGUGUUUAUGAAGCACUGGUUACAAAACAGGAAAAGGCUCACAUUAUGCCGGCAAAGAAAGCAGGAUAUACAUCUGAAUAUAGAGAAUGACGACAAAGUCUUUAAAAAACAAACCAACCACCGAGUCGAAAAGGACUGGGAAGAACUACAUCAAAAUACUAACAUUGUCAGAGCCCGCUAAGACUGUCAAUAACCUUAUUUUUCUCUUUUUUUUCCCCAGCAUUUCUCUGAAUGCUAUUUUACAAUAUAUAUUUCAAAAAGAUUUAAAAAAAUACACAAAGGCUAGAUGCUUCCAAUUGAGAAACUUUCCCUUUUCAUUCAUUCAUCACUGAUUCAUUCACUCCGGUGUUUGGCUGGACAAACGCAGGACACGGUGAGCGUCUGCUGUGUGCCAGGCCCCGGGGGCUCCAAGGAAGACAGGAAGAAAAAGGUUCUUGAAAAUGGAAACUCGAGGCCUGGGGAAGGGAAGGCAGCCCUACAAAUAAGGGGGUUGUGCCACGGGGCAUGAGCAGCAUUGAAUCCCUGCUGGUUUCAGUCCUGUCUCCCAGAGCCUCACCCAGGCCUCCCUCAGCUGCUAGGGUCUCCAGGUCCAACCUAUGGGUCAGACACCCACCCUUAAUGGCCAGGCCUGCAGCUGAGUGGGUGGGCGGGAAGGGUGGGGGUGGGGAGCAGGGCAAAGGCUUGCUCAGGAGCCUGGGCCAAGGGUAGAAGGGCCUCUCCCUUCCCUCUACCCCAGACCCAUGGUGACUUCCCUUCCAGUUCCCCGAUGGCCCUGGCUUGUAACCCCUCUUCCCUCCGGGCCAAAAGGCCACUGCCUUGCUGCCUGACCCUCUCUGGGCUCUGAUUUCCGCCUCCCACAAGGUCCCUGAACAAGGCACCACCCAGCUGGGUCCUGUCGGGCUUUGAAGGGGGAGUCCAGAGUCUAGAAUCUGCUAGCUCCAGUCAGCCGGUGUCAUGCUGUUAGCAAGUCAGAGGGUCCAACAAUGUUUUCCUGCUGUGUGGGGGCUGACAGAUUUCUGGGGGAGGGUUAACUCUCUCUAUUCCUGGACCAAGAGACAGAACAGCCUGAAAACAGUCUAGCCGCCCCCCUCCCUCUCAAAAGGUGCCUCCCCUCUCCCCCAGGAAUCCUCAUUUUAAGUAGGGAGAGGAAUUGCCUUCACCUGCCUGGGUGUCUCUGGACCUGGCUCUCCAACCCAGGAAGAAAAAGGGGAGGGGGCACCUUGAUCGCCUGGCUGCUUGCCUGGGAAUCCAAUUAAGGCUGAUUUCCACGGGCUCUCCACUCCUCAAUGCCAGUCCAGCUAGCCCUUCGCUCUUCCACGUCUCCCCUUCCUCUGCAUCCCCCGAUGGAGCAAAAGAAUCUGGGGGCUUUUGAGUGCCAGGAAGCCUCUGACCCGGUGGUCCCCCCUUGGACUGAGUCCCUGCCUCAGGACUGCGGUCCCCAGAAAUUUUCUGGGCUAGCAUUUCCUUCCCAUGGCCGCAGUGGGAAAGGAGAAGUUCCCACCACUCUCCUCCCCCUUCAUCCUCCCCUCCUCCCGGCCCUGAGGGAGGGGGCGAGGCGUCCGGAUCUCCGGGUCAUCGGAGCAGCGUCUGCUGAGGAUCGCAGGAGACAAACACUUCGUCACACAAGCACAGCACCCUCGGGAUCACCUCUUUCAGACCGCAUUGUACCGGAGGGGAGGAGGCUGAGGUUGGAGGGGCCCUCGACGUGCCUAAAGUCACCAGCCAAUCGCCAAGCCCAAGAGGGGCUGCCAUCCACGACCCCCGGCCGCGAACCCAAGCCUCUCACCUUCGCCGCGCACACCCCCCAACCCCCCUCCCUGCCCCGGCGCCAUCCCAAGUCGACAUCUCUAACCCAAACAAGCCCCUCCCCCGGGAGCCCCCUCCCCCCGCCCAAGGCCCAGGGUCAGCAGCCCCAGGAGGGACCUCCUCCCCACCCCACUCCCCCACGGCAGAGGUGCGAGAUUUCAUUGUCAGCCUGGCCACUCGACCGCGCGUGAGACUGGGGCGCAGGGCGGGGGGGACCACUGGGCAGGCUCUCGUGCGGGGAGUGGGGAGGGGUCUCCAGGGGAAGUGUUUGAAGCCGCUCCUGCAGCGCUGUCCAUAUCCGGAAGCCGCCGGGGAAGGGAGGAAGGCGGGGGUGGGGAGAGCGCGACCUUAAGCUCUGGCGGGCGGCGAGGAGGGGCCGCAGCGGCCGAGGAAGCGCCUGGAGGCGUCAGGGGCGCUGAGUCCCCAGGGAGGCCGCGCUCCCGGGAAGUUUCCCACCGGUUGCCCGGAGCAGGAUCGGGCGCGCGGAUCGCCCUCCCCGGUCCGACCAGCUUCCGGGCGCAGAUUGAGAACUUGAACAGAACUCCUUCCUUCUCUGGCAUCUCUCGCCUCCCCAUCCGCGGCCACCAGCCCCGCCAUCUCAGCCCCAUGCCUUCCGCCAAUACCA